UACAGAGGGUGCAAGCGUUGUUCGGAAUUAUUGGGCGUAAAGGGCGCGUAGGCGGUGCGGUAAGUCUGUAGUGAAAUCUCUGGGCUCAACUCAGAGUCUGCUAUAGAAACUGCCGUGCUUGAGUGUGGGAGAGGUGAGUGGAAUUCCCGGUGUAGCGGUGAAAUGCGUAGAUAUUGGGAGGAACACCAGUGGCGAAGGCGGCUACCUGGACCGGUUCUGACGCUGAGGCGCGAAAGCGUGGGUAGCAAACAGG
This 253-nucleotide ribosomal RNA is filed under the name uncultured bacterium. RNAcentral describes it as "partial 16S ribosomal RNA". It matches the Rfam family "Bacterial small subunit ribosomal RNA", at positions 524 to 776 of the family's 1533-position model. The record is from RNAcentral.